This 551-nucleotide long non-coding RNA is filed under the name Felis catus (domestic cat). RNAcentral describes it as "lncRNA (ENSFCAG00000041404.2)". Lineage: Eukaryota; Metazoa; Chordata; Mammalia; Carnivora; Felidae. The record is from RNAcentral.
GUGGUUUUGGUGGUUUGUUUCUGCUUUUUUGUUUGUUUUUGUUUUUUUUGCAGGUUUGGGUUCUGGACGUUAAGCCCUCGAGGGGCCCCCGGGACCCAUCAGGGCCUGGGACGGCUGGGGACACACUCCUCGGAUGCCAGACUCCUCCUGCGAGGGCGAGUUAGGGUCCCAUGAAACGGCCUGAGAGGCCCCCGAUCCCCCAGCACAGCGAUCCUGGCCCCCUCCACCCUCCCGAGCCACGUGGUUUCCUACACUCACCUGUCCUGAGUCUGCUUGGGGGCAUCUGUCGUUCAAGAAAAAUCGAAGGUGGCUUUCAAAUGUCAAACUUUCAGACUGAGGACAAACUGCCUUUUAAAUAUCACGUUUUCGAAAAUGUAUACGUUUUUUAUUUUACCUCUUGUCAUCUUUUCCGAACACAUCCCAAGUCACAACAGCGAGACGCAUCAAAGAAAUGUGUAUUUUCCGCAGGAGCACAUGCCUUGUGCUCACAGGAAGGUGCCUGGGAUUGACAAAGGGACGUGUUCUAAUUGGCGGUGAUGCUGGAACGGGGC